Long non-coding RNA from Aphis gossypii (cotton aphid), 903 nucleotides. RefSeq lists it as uncharacterized. The transcript has 3 exons. The record is from RefSeq and is a predicted model, not a curated record. NCBI's taxonomy places the organism in Eukaryota, Metazoa, Arthropoda, Insecta, Hemiptera, Aphididae.
AAUAAGCACAAAUAUACAUUUUCAUAUAAUGUUAUACAUUUAAUUUACAUAAUUAAAAUUAAAAAAUUGUGUACAGUAACAAAUUUAAAAGUGUGCAUUACUUUUUGUACAUUAACCAAAGUUAUUUCGUUUUUAAUUUUUAAACUUUUAGUUAUAUAGGUAUCAAGAACUUUUAUAGAAGAUUGUCUUAGAUUGUAUUUAUUUGCGCAUUCUACACAUUUUCUCGGAAAAAAAGAAGCGUCUGUACGUACAUUUUUGAAAUACUUCAUGACAUUUCGAGAAUGGUCGGAAUGUUUUAAAGUGUAGGGCAUUAGCGACAAUUCCAUCUUAAAUGCGUAACCGUUCACAUAGAGACGUUCCAAUUUAUUCGGAUCCUUUAAUAUUUGUUCAUGUUUCCAGUCUUUUAGUGGCAAUCAUUCACCUCUGAAACUUACGAAAAAUAAAGAUACAAUUGCAUCUCAGAACGCAUAAUAUGUUUUUCCACUGCGUAACAGGAUAUUAUUGUUAUACGGUUAAUAUGUAUUUUGAUCUAUAUUAUACACUGUUUAGGUUUACGUUCCAUUUGUGAUGACGUCAAAGGAAUAUAAUAUCCAGAUAGCUUGCACUUUUCAGCGAUUUAUUCACGCUGACCGGUACGGCGGUACAUGCUUAUAAAAUAUAAGUAUAAUAAAAUGGUUUUUGCAGAUCGACAUACAUAUCAGCUAAAUAUUGAAAUAGGUAUGUUAUUAUCCAAACCAAUAACGCACAUAACUAUAUACUACGAAGUGUAUUAUUAAUUUAAUAUGUAUAUUUUUAUUAUAGUACAAUGUACUGCUACACUGCAUAAGGUACCUAUCAAUUAAUAUACCUACUACACCAAUAAUAGGUACAUAUGUUGGUAUAUUAUAAUGAUUACACAUAAUA